This is a non-coding RNA of Camelina sativa (false flax), 444 nucleotides long. Lineage: Eukaryota; Viridiplantae; Streptophyta; Magnoliopsida; Brassicales; Brassicaceae. The record is from RefSeq and is a predicted model, not a curated record.
AUGGAGGAUGGCCAAGUUCUUCUUUAUUCAAAUUCUGUAAAUGCACGGGAAACAAAAAUACCAUAUCCGUGGUUGGUGUUCAACGAGAAGAUAAAAGUGAACUCUGUUUUCUUGAGGGAUUCGACAGCUGUCUCUGACUCUACUCUUAUCCUCUUUGGCGGUAGCAUCUCCAAAGGAGACAUUGAUGGCCACCUGAAAAUGUUGGGAGGAUACUUGGAGUUUUUCAUGAAACCUGCUGUUGCAGAGAUAUGCCAAACCUUGAAGAAAGAGCUUGACGAGCUGAUACAGAACAAACUACUUAAUCCUAAAAUGGACGUGCAAGCACACCGUGAACUCUUAUCAGCUAUACGGUUGUUAGUCUCUGGGGAUGGAUGUGAUGGGAGAUUUGUGUUUGGUCGCCAAAUACGUAGGCCUUUAGAAACAUCGGCUUUGUCAACAAAACCG